GGGGUCCUCUUUGCCGAUCCUCGACAUGUGAUAAGAUGUUUCCAUGUCUUGGCUUCUGGCUCUGUUGCUUUUGGGACCCGCUUCUAACCGUCUCAACCUUGCAUCGAGACAAUGUUUGAGCACGUCUCCCUUCUCGGGAAACGCUCUCAACCCCACGAACCCUUGACCUCAAAUCGGGUGAGACUACCCGCUGAACUUAA
RNAcentral lists this unclassified non-coding RNA (200 nucleotides) under soil metagenome. RNAcentral describes it as "partial contains internal transcribed spacer 2 and large subunit ribosomal RNA". The record is from RNAcentral.